Non-coding RNA from Triticum aestivum (bread wheat), 134 nucleotides. Lineage: Eukaryota; Viridiplantae; Streptophyta; Magnoliopsida; Poales; Poaceae. The record is from Rfam.
ACUAAACUCCCUCCAUCCCAAUUUAGUUGUCUUAGAUUUGUCUAGUACAAAUGUAUCUAGACAUGUUUUAGUGCUAGAUACAUCCAUAUCUAGACAAAUCUAAGUCAACUAAUUUGGGACGGAGGUAAUACUGG